This 430-nucleotide ribosomal RNA is filed under the name uncultured bacterium. Its description in RNAcentral is "partial 16S ribosomal RNA". It matches the Rfam family "Bacterial small subunit ribosomal RNA", at positions 354 to 796 of the family's 1533-position model. The record is from RNAcentral.
GUGGGGAAUAUUGCACAAUGGGCGCAAGCCUGAUGCAGCAACGCCGCGUGAGGGAUGACGGCCUUCGGGUUGUAAACCUCUUUUAGUAGGGAAGAAGCGAAAGUGACGGUACCUGCAGAAAAAGCACCGGCUAACUACGUGCCAGCAGCCGCGGUAAUACGUAGGGUGCAAGCGUUGUCCGGAAUUAUUGGGCGUAAAGAGCUCGUAGGCGGCUUGUCGCGUCUGCUGUGAAAUCCCGGGGCUCAACCCCGGGCCUGCAGUGGGUACGGGCAGGCUAGAGGGCGGUAGGGGAGAUUGGAAAUCCUGGUGUAGCGGUGGAAUGCGCAGAUAUCAGGAGGAACACCGAUGGCGAAGGCAGAUCUCUGGGCCGCUACUGACGCUGAGGAGCGAAAGCAUGGGGAGCGAACGGGAUUAGAUACCCCUGUAGUCC